CGGAGGGUGCAAGCGUUAUCCGGAUUCACGGGGUUUAAAGGGUGUGUAGGCGGGUAUUUAAGUCAGUGGUGAAAUCUCCGAGCUCAACUCGGAAACUGCCAUUGAUACUAUUUAUCUUGAAUAUUGUUGAGGUAGGCGGAAUAUGUCAUGUAGCGGUGAAAUGCUUAGAUAUGACAUAGAACACCGAUUGCGAAGGCAGCUUGCUAAACAAUUAUUGACGCUGAGGCACGAAAGCGUGGGGAUCAAACAGGAUUAGAUACCCUGGUAGUCCACGCCCUAAACGAUGAUUACUGGACAUUUGCGAUAUACAGUGAGUGUCUGAGCGAAAGCAUUAAGUAAUCCACCUGGGAAGUACGUCCGCAAGGAUG
RNAcentral lists this ribosomal RNA (368 nucleotides) under uncultured organism. RNAcentral's name for it is "bacterial SSU rRNA". It matches the Rfam family "Bacterial small subunit ribosomal RNA", at positions 526 to 896 of the family's 1533-position model. The record is from RNAcentral.